CCAUCUUCCCAACCCCCGCCCCUCUGCCCACAAUGCCCUGCGCGCGCUCCGGCGGGGCAAGGGAGGGGCAUCACGUGAGGCGGCCGCGGAGGCCCCGCCCACACCCGCCCUGCCCCGCCCACACCCGCCGGGGUGGGGGGGUGACAUGGCCGCGGGGCGCUAGAGACGCGUGGCUGCCGGCGCGCGUCAGUCUGCCGCCCUCGCAGAACCUCCCGCUGGGGGUUCGGGGAGCAUCUAUCGAGCGGCCCCGCCCGUCCACGCUAAUUGAGCAUCUUAGGGAGGCGGGACCCUGCGGAGGUCACCCGGGCCUGGGUCCUCCGUGCCCGCGGGCCUGGCUGGCGCUGGCAGGUGCCGCCUGUGCCAGGAACCGAGGAGUCGAGGAAGGAGGCUGGGAAGCCGGGGUCGCUGGCGGCAGUCUCGGGCGGGAACGUCCCCACGGGGGCAGAGGCUGAGUGAGGGGCCCAGGGACGCUGUCAUGACCAGGCCGUGGGGGUUCUGCCGACCGGCUGACUCUAUGUUUUUGUUCCGCAGGUGGGGUCCAGUGACCUUGGCACGGCUACCAACAGGCCUUCCGGGUAAAUUUAAUUAACUGCGAUGCAAAGAUUGAUAUUCGUAGCUGCAAGAGACUUGAGGGCUGUGCGUUGGCAUAGAGGAAGAGAUGGUGGUCGUGCCGUCAUCCCAAGUGCGUUGAUCAUGAAGUGGGGAGGUGUGCAGAGCUUUCGAGGGGGAGACAGUUUGGGCUACAUCACCCCACUGCGGUGUGGCCUGUAAAGAAACCAGGGUAAAAUCACCCACCUCUGGUAGAAGUCAGAAGUGCUGGGGCUCAGGGAGGCCCCACAGGCUCCAGCUUGCAAGAGGAGAGUGCCCCAAAAUGCAGGAUGGAAGGUCACUGUGCAGGCUGCCCAUCGGAUGCCGGCCACCUCUGCAGGCCAUGUGGAGAGGUUUAGGAACAGUGAGCCAGGAAAGUGUUCUGCGCUUAUUCGGGAGGCAGUCCAGCCAGUGGGGUACUGUCAUCUGCGCUUCAUAAAUGGGUCAUGAGGCACAGAGCAAUGAAAUUCUCUGGCCAUCGUGAUGCUGUGCACCUGUCGUCACAGCAUUUGGGCGGCUGAGGCAGGAAGAUUUCAGUGAGUUCAAGGCCAGCCUGGGUUAUAUACAGUGACUGUGUCUUGAAAAUGUCCUCCAAAAAUCAUUUUGAAAUUCCUUUUAGACCUCCCUAACUUGAAUUAAGGAUCACAAUAAUCUGCAGUGGAAUCAACAUAAAGCCUGUUAUUUAGCUUCUGUUUAGUUUCAGUUCUCAACAUGUAUAUUCUUGUUUGUGCUGUUUAUUCUUAAGUAUACUGUAGCCACACGUUAUUAAAAAUAAAAAUAAGGAUUCUUGCUACAAAAACACACAAAUGGGUAACCUUGUGAGAUGAUGGGUCUGUUCCUGUCACUACCGUCACUGUCAGACUGUAUCCCAUAAUGUCAUGUUGCAUAGUGUCAUGGAUACUUUCUCAUUGCUAGGACAAACUACUGAACGCCCACAAGGAGGGUGUUCACAGUCUAGAGGUUUCUGCCUAGAGUCAACAAGGCAAGGCAGCAGGGCAGAAGGGCCUGGCUGGAGAGAAACAGCUCAGGGCAGGUGGCAAGAGGCAGAGAGGGAUCAAGGGAGGAGGAGGGACACAGAGCCUCCAGGCCACGCCCACAGCGGCCACCUCCACCAAUCAGGCUUCACCUCCCAACACCACGCCCAGCUGUACACCCAUUCGUGAACUAAUCCCGUGACACCCAUGUUCGGGUCACCACCACGAAUCCCCAUGAGGCUUCCUGGGGAUGCCUAGAUAUAAGCCUUGAAUAUACACAAUAAAAUGUAUUUUAAAAAAUGAAAAGUCUGGCAGGGAAGCAAGGGCCUACCCAAAACAAUUUAAACCUCUUUCUCAAAUUCCAAAGGAGGCUCUGGGAGGACCACACACACUGUACACAGGCUGGCAGUGUAUCUCCGUGGUUAGAGCACUUCCUUAGCAUGCAUGAGACCCUGGUGCCAUCCUCAAAGAGAACAAAAUAAAAACACAAUGUAUAGCCAA
Cavia porcellus (domestic guinea pig) is the source of this 2063-nucleotide long non-coding RNA. RefSeq lists it as uncharacterized. The record is from RefSeq and is a predicted model, not a curated record. NCBI's taxonomy places the organism in Eukaryota, Metazoa, Chordata, Mammalia, Rodentia, Caviidae. The transcript is spliced from 2 exons.